AUUUAUCAUAAUAAUCGAAGCAGAUUUCAUGAAUUUAUUAAAUAGUGCCUAUGUUGUACCUGAGACUGAAGUAAAAAUAUCCAGAAAUUGUAAAUUCAGUGUAGCUCACGGAAAAUGGCUAUACGACAUCUAAUACUGCUGAAAAACUUGGCAUUAGCCAAUCGGUGGUGAUCUGAGUGGAAAAGAUGCAAAAUGUUGUCCCGAAACGGCAAGCCCAAGGUCGGUGAACAUGUAGUCAUCGCUGCUCCCCACUGUACAUUUAAUAUGUGCGAUAUAGCGUGCAGUUCAUGCACUUCAACACUUUAAGGGCAAAGUCUUUUCCCUUAUCAAUAUCGGUCAAACCUGACCCCAACUAUGAAGCAACUGUGGAUGAUUUGUGGUAUCGUUCCAUAUUCAACUGACC
Molecule: long non-coding RNA, 403 nt
Filed under: Drosophila guanche
Lineage: Eukaryota; Metazoa; Arthropoda; Insecta; Diptera; Drosophilidae
Source: RNAcentral